RNAcentral lists this transfer RNA (75 nucleotides) under Planctomycetota bacterium. Its description in RNAcentral is "tRNA-Asp". It matches the Rfam family "tRNA". From Rfam's summary of the family: Transfer RNA (tRNA) molecules are approximately 80 nucleotides in length. Their secondary structure includes four short double-helical elements and three loops (D, anti-codon, and T loops). Lineage: Bacteria; Pseudomonadati; Planctomycetota. The record is from RNAcentral.
GGCCCCAUGGUCCAACGGCCAGGACACCCGACUGUCUAUCGGGAGGUCGGAGUUCGAUUCUCCGUGGGGUCGCCA